UACGGAGGAUCCAAGCGUUAUCCGGAUUUAUUGGGUUUAAAGGGUGCGUAGGUGGCCUGUUAAGUCAGGGGUGAAAGACGGUAGCUCAACUAUCGCAGUGCCCUUGAUACUGACGGGCUUGAAUGAACUAGAGGUAGGCGGAAUGUGACAAGUAGCGGUGAAAUGCAUAGAUAUGUCACAGAACACCGAUUGCGAAGGCAGCUUACUAUGGUUUUAUCGACGCUGAGGCACGAAAGCGUGGGGAUCAAACAGG
RNAcentral lists this ribosomal RNA (253 nucleotides) under uncultured bacterium. RNAcentral's name for it is "partial 16S ribosomal RNA". It matches the Rfam family "Bacterial small subunit ribosomal RNA", at positions 524 to 776 of the family's 1533-position model. The record is from RNAcentral.